CCUACGGGUGACUGCAGUGAGGAAUAUUGGUCAAUGGACGAGAGUCUGAACCAGCCAAGUAGCGUGAAGGAUGACUGCCCUAUGGGUUGUAAACUUCUUUUAUAUGGGAAUAAAAUGUUCCACGUGUGGGAUUUUGUAUGUACCAUAUGAAUAAGGAUCGGCUAACUCCGUGCCAGCAGCCGCGGUAAUACGGAGGAUCCGAGCGUUAUCAGGAUUUAUUGGGUUUAAAGGGAGCGUAGGUGGAUUGUUAAGUCAGUUGUGAAAGUUUGCGGCUCAACCGUAAAAUUGCAGUUGAAACGGGCAGUCUUGAGUACAGUAGAGGUGGGCGGAAUUCGUGGUGUAGCGGUGAAAUGCUUAGAUAUCACGAAGAACUCCGAUUGCGAAGGCAGUUCACUGGACUGCAACUGACACUGAGGCUCGAAAGUGUGGGUAUCAAACAGGAUUAGAUACCCUGGUAGUC
This 460-nucleotide ribosomal RNA is filed under the name uncultured bacterium. RNAcentral's name for it is "partial 16S ribosomal RNA". It matches the Rfam family "Bacterial small subunit ribosomal RNA", at positions 338 to 795 of the family's 1533-position model. The record is from RNAcentral.